This is an RNA transcript of Erigeron canadensis, 1921 nucleotides long. RefSeq lists it as uncharacterized. The record is from RefSeq and is a predicted model, not a curated record. NCBI's taxonomy places the organism in Eukaryota, Viridiplantae, Streptophyta, Magnoliopsida, Asterales, Asteraceae. The transcript has 5 exons.
UUUUGUGGUGGGAAAUUUGUUAUUCCUGAAUGGCAGAAAAUCUUUAAGCCAUAGCUCUCUCUUCCAUGAUCCAUCGAGAAUGAAUCGAGACUUUCUCCAUAACACCGUCUUCAUUGUCAUGGGAUGAAUCUUCUUCUUCACCUUCUUCAUUUUCGUCUCUCGUUUCUGCCUUUUGAUCAUUUCUGUCCUCUUCCCCCUCCUUACAGUUACAGCUAUACGUUGCAAUGCCUACAUUUACAACAAUAGCUUUAGAUACUUUGAUAGAACCAAAAGCUUCUAAGCUGACAGCAACAGGGAAAACUAAAUCUGAUCCAAAACUGGAAAGGAGGAAUAGUAGUGGAAUUCCUGGUGCCGAAAGAAAGUCUGUGUCCAGGAAUAAUUCAGUGACUAUAGAGAGAAAGCACCACUGGACUCAGAUUUCACCUGCACUCUAUGCUACUCCAGAGCCGACACCAGUUCCAGAUGCUCCAUUAUCAUUUCCUGCAUCACCUUACAUUGUAGAACAUAAGAGGCGUGGACCACGGCUUUCAAAGACUUACUCUCAGGAUGAUGCUGUUCUUAAGAAAGCUGUAGCUGAUGAAAAUACAGUUGAGAUCAAGAAAAGUGUGGAAGCAGAAGACGUUGGAUCUAGCAAGGUUUUUGACUUCACUAAUGUUGUUUCUGGUGAUGUUGACUACAAACGUGUCAAGUUUCAGCAGAAGGAAAAUCUUGGAAGAGCAGAAGAUGUAGGAUCUAGCAAGGUUCCAGAUACUGUUUCUAGUGAUAUUGAUGCUGAGGAUAACCAUGUCAAACUUGCAAAUAGACAUGACAUUUCCAAAAAGUCUGACACAUUGGAACGAGAAGGUGAGAUAGAUGACUUCUUUGAUCCUCACGAGGCAAUGAGCGUCAGAAGCAACACUGAUGCAGAAAGUGUUCAUGGAGUAGAGCGGUCUUUAAAUCCAAACACUCCAUUUGCUGAGUUUUAUGAUGCUUGGGAAGACCUUGCCACUGAGACUGGAAUCCAGCAUACUGCAACAGAUGCUGAGGGUGAAUUACGUGAACUACGAACAGGCUUUUUGAUUGAGAUGGAGAAAAGGAAGCAAGCGGAAACCCGCCUGAAUGAUAUAAAAAGCCAAUGGGGGAGGAUCCGAGAACAAUUAUCUGUUGCUGGUCUGAGUUUUCCCGCAGAUCCUACUAUGGUGGAGGAUGAACCAUCCGAUGAUCCUGGAGUAGAGGUAUGUCAUCAGAUUGAUCUUCUCCGUUUUGUGUCCAACUCUGUUGGACGAGGAAUAGCAAGGGCCGAGCUUGAGGCUGAACUGGAAGCCCAGUUGCAGUCUAAGAACUUUGAGAUUGCUAGGCUAUUGGACAGACUGCACUACUAUGAAGCUGUAAAUCAUGAGAUGUCUCAAAGGAAUCAAGAAAGUGUAGAAACCAUGCGUCGUGUUAGGCAAAGGAGGAAGAGGAGACAAAGGUGGAUUUGGGGUUCAAUUGGGAUUGCAAUUACACUUGGAAGUACCGCCUUAGCAUGGUCUUACCUCUCAUCUGGAAAAGGAUCUUCUCCUAUUCACACUUCUGAAAGCAACCAAUCCGCUAAGAAAUGACUACCCUCACUGAGUAUGCCGAAGAUGACCCAUUAAGAAAACCAAAAAAGAAAAGCUGAACAAAGCAUUAAUGGUGAAAAGCUGAAAUGAGAUUUACAUAAAUAGGUUACAUACAUACAUUUGCAGAGGUAAUAACAUGGACAUACGUACGUUUUUUGGCAGGGGAUAAAAGCAGUUUACAUUUUCACUAUGAAUGUAAACUGGUAUUGCUUAUAUGAUGAGUCAAAUUGGUGGCAAUGGUUAUGAAUUAAUGGAGAAAGUUCCUAUUAAUUGAUGAUAUAUCCAACUAUCUAUGCUCGUUGAUUUUGUUUACAGUUAUAUUUGGAAAUAUAAGACCUUAA